This 478-nucleotide ribosomal RNA is filed under the name uncultured bacterium. RNAcentral's name for it is "partial 16S ribosomal RNA". It matches the Rfam family "Bacterial small subunit ribosomal RNA", at positions 28 to 507 of the family's 1533-position model. The record is from RNAcentral.
GAUGAACGCUGGCGGCGUGCUUAACACAUGCAAGUCGAACGGGAAACCUUUUAUUUAAGCUUCGGCUGGUUUAGCUGGUUUCUAGUGGCGGAUGGGUGACUAACGCCUGGGUAACCUGCCUUAUACAGGGGGAUAACAUUCAGACAUGUCUGCUAAUACUGCAUCAUCGUACAGAUCUGCAUGGCUUAUUGGGUAAAACUCCGCUGGUCUAAGAUGUACCCGCGUUGGAUUAGCUGGUUGGUCGGGUAACGGCCAACCAAGGCGACGAUCCAUGGCCUGCCUGAGAGGGUGAACGGCAAGAGUGGGAGUGAGGCACGGCACAGACACCUAAGGGAGGAAGGAGUAGGGAAUAAUGAAGAAUGGGGGAAAUGCUGAAGCAACGACGCCGGGUGAAGGAAGAAGUACGGCGGGAUGUAAACUUCUAUCAGCAGGGAAGAUAAUGACGGUACCUGACGAAGAAGCCCCGGCUAACUACGUG